Long non-coding RNA from Sander lucioperca (pikeperch), 210 nucleotides. RefSeq lists it as uncharacterized. The record is from RefSeq and is a predicted model, not a curated record. The transcript is spliced from 3 exons. NCBI's taxonomy places the organism in Eukaryota, Metazoa, Chordata, Actinopteri, Perciformes, Percidae.
UUGCUGAUUGGCUGGAACAGUGUUUUGUGACUCGUGCACUCCUUUCUGUUUGUUUUCCAUUUACACAGCCAGAGCUGUGUAUUAACACCGGAUUUUUUUUCCAGCGCACACACAAAAUAGAGAGCUAGGUGACUGUAUUCACCGAAUUUGACAAAAACGUGUAUUGGAUUAACAUCACUUACUAUACCUUUAAUAAAAUUUCCACAAAGU